GGGCCGUUAGCUCAGCGGUUAGAGCACCUGCCUCUUAAGCAGGGUGUCGCUGGUUCGAAUCCAGCACGGCUCA
Molecule: transfer RNA, 73 nt
Filed under: Candidatus Chisholmbacteria bacterium
Lineage: Bacteria; Candidatus Chisholmiibacteriota
Description: tRNA-Lys
Rfam family: tRNA
About the family: Transfer RNA (tRNA) molecules are approximately 80 nucleotides in length. Their secondary structure includes four short double-helical elements and three loops (D, anti-codon, and T loops).
Source: RNAcentral